GCUAUGCCACGGUUGCUGGGCACUGGGAUAAUGUAUACAGUCAACAUUCUGAAAUGCUUCUUAAAAGAGCACUUGAAUCAUAACCUAAAUUUUUAGGAGGGGCAGUGAUUUCUUAUCCACCAUAUCUUGAUCAAACUUCAGAUAGCCUUAACCUAAUAUUUGAAAAGUGAAUAGUUUAAACUCAUUUGUUAAGCUGUUCCUUUGCAGUGGGGUAAUAACCAAACAGUGACAACCAAACAGAGAAUUUUGUAAGCAGAACACCUCUGCCGGCAGCGGCAACCCAGGGUGGCAGCUGUUCUGGAUGAAAGUUUAGAUAAAAAGGACCAGGAAUACAGACAAUUUGUCUACACCAUGAGAGAGCAGAAGCCCUGGCAGAUGCUGGGUAUCAGAAGCAUAGAAAUCCAGGCCUAGAAUCUGGGCAACAGACUCAAGUCCUCCAUAGACAGAAGGAAGCUCUACUCCAUCCUAGGCCGAUAAGGGACUUCCUUCAGAAAAGCCCAUCCAGGAGACAGCGGGACAGGGCUGGAGAACGAGAAAACACCUGGUGGGCCAGGAAAGGGGGAGAAGAGGGUUGAACCUGCCCAAUCCAAUGGUUCCCAUUGUCUUCCUUGGACUCACGUUAGAAGCCCUGUUAUGAAUUGAAGAGUGUCCCUUCCAAAGAUGUUAAAGUCUUAGCCCCCAGGACCACCUGUGAAUGUGACCUUUUUGGAAAUAGGGUCUUUGCGUAUGACCAAGUUAAGAUGAGGUCAUUAGAGUAGGUCCUAAUCCAAGAUGACUGAGUCCUUAUAAAAGGGGGAAAUUUGGACUCAGAGACAGACAUAUACGCAGGAAGAACUCCAUGUGAAGAUGAAGGCAGAGAUCGGGGUGAUGCAUCCACAAACCAAAGGAAACCAAAGAUUGCCAGCAACCCACCAGAAGCUGGGAGAGAGGCAUGGCACAAUUUCUCCCUCACAGCCCUCAGAAGAAACCAAUCCUGCUGACACCUUCUAUUGGACUUCUGGCCUCAAGAACUGUGAGACAAUAACUCUCUGUUGCUUAAGCCACCCAGCAUGUGGUACUUUGUCCUGGCAGCCUCAGCUAACUAAUACAAACCCUAGAGCCAAGAUCCCAAUUCUCUGCCCAGCUCAGGUCCGGCUGAAAGGCUGUGGGCUGUGGUUCACACUUACAAGGCAUAAGGCUCUCUCAGGGACCCCUCUUUCCCAUGAUGGAGACUCUGGAACAAACAAGAAGGGGAGGGAAGAGAAGAGAUUGUUGCAAGGAACUGCAGCCUUCCAGAAGAUAGAUGCUCAUUAGAGCAGUGUUUUCCGACUUAACACGAACUCAGCUGGUAUUGUGCCAGCCAUCAGCUGGUAGAUCCUGCCAUCUGUCCCCAGCAACACAAAUCUGCAACAGCUUCAUUUGAAGAAAUAAUACAGUGACUACAAAUCAGCGCAUUUCAACAUCCUGCAUUGCAGAGCAGGUGGACUAGUUAGGACGGGCUCUGCGUCAUUCCGAGGAGCUGCCGGACCUUCACGCACACCUCCACCUCCCAAACUGGACUUUUCAAAAGAUAUAGAGAACUAGGGGCCAGCCCAGUGGCAUAAUGGUUAGGUCCGCACACUGCUUCAGGGGCCCAAGGUUCGCAGGUUCGGAUCCCAGGCG
This 1641-nucleotide long non-coding RNA is filed under the name Equus caballus (horse). RNAcentral's name for it is "lncRNA (ENSECAG00000035040.3)". Lineage: Eukaryota; Metazoa; Chordata; Mammalia; Perissodactyla; Equidae. The record is from RNAcentral.